This 458-nucleotide ribosomal RNA is filed under the name uncultured bacterium. RNAcentral describes it as "bacterial SSU rRNA". It matches the Rfam family "Bacterial small subunit ribosomal RNA", at positions 329 to 793 of the family's 1533-position model. The record is from RNAcentral.
AGCCAGACUCCUACGGGAGGCAGCAGUGGGGGAUAUUGCACAAUGGGGGAAACCCUGAUGCAGCGACGCCGCGUGGGUGAAGGAGCACUUCGGUGCGUAAAGCCCUAUCGGCAGGGAAGAAAAGGGGGAAACCCCAGACGGUACCUGACUAAGAAGCCCCGGCUAACUACGUGCCAGCAGCCGCGGUAAUACGUAGGGGGCAAGCGUUAUCCGGAUUUAUUGGGUUUAAAGGGUGCGUAGGCGGGCCGGAAAGGCAGCGGUAAAAGCCGGGGGCUCACCCCCGGCGAGCCGUUGAAACUGUCGGACUAGAGCCGGCGAGAAGUACGCGGAAUGCGCGGUGUAGCGGUGAAAUGCAUAGAUAUCGCGCAGAACUCCGAUUGCGAAGGCAGCGUACCGGCGCCGGACUGACGCUGAGGCACGAAAGCGUGGGUAUCGAACAGGAUUAGAUACCCUAGUAC